AUGUGCCCAAGGUCACACAGCCCAGGCAAGGGACCCACGCUGAAGGCUUCCUUGACACACAGACUCCCUAAGCCUGACCUCCGGGCCAGGCCACUCCCAUUUCAGAGCGAAGGUCCCCUCUCCCGGAAAGGCCGAGUCAGAGCUGUCUGCGGCCGGAGCCUGCUUCCCUGCGCUCCGCCUCCCCCUUCUAAGGCCGGGCCCUGGAGGAGGCGGCCGAGGGGCCUGCCGCCGCAGGUUGCUCACAAAGAGGGCCGUGGGGGCGGGGGCGACCACAGCGCGGCAGGCGCCACAGGAAGGGCCCCGCCCCUUCCUGUCAGUUCCACCAACGGCCCCAGCAGCUGUGCCUGCGCCAAGGGGAAGCUGCAACUCUCGAAAACAAAAACCCCAAAGGAGGAACUUCCCUGGCGGCCCUGGAAGACUGCUGGGCCCCCACCCCGCUUCAGGGGCCUCCCGGGGCGACAGGCAGGGGCUGGGAGACGCUGGGUCCCGGCCCUGCCGCCAGCAGCGGGGCUCGCUUGCUGCCCUAUGCUUCCCCCACGGUGGACGGGAGAUCGCUUGGCAGAGAGGGGGGCACAUAAAGGCGGCCCCAGGGGCCUCCUGCCCCCACCCCCUGGCCUGGCAGCCGGACCAGGAGGUGGGGCGGAUGCCCUGGGGUUGGCAGAGCCCCCACCAUACUCACCCAGCUUCUGGGAGAAGAUCUUCUCAAAGGUCACCUCACCCCGGUCCUCCAGGUACUUCUGCAUGACGCUGCGGAUGCUGGAAGACAGGGGGGCAGUGGUGACCCAGAGCCCCCAUGGCUCCCGCCAGGCCUGCUGGCCCUGCUCCCCUGGAGGGUUGCUGCUUCCUUCCCUGGAAUCCGGAGUGGAGAGCACUGCCGCUAGGGUGACCAGCAGGUGGCUGCUCAGAAGUCUGGUCCCAGCCCUGCCUCGUGCUAGCUUCAGGGAGUUGUCCGAACCUCAUAAGCCAGGCCUCAUCCAUCAGCAGAUGAUGGAUCACGAAAAUACAGCCCAUCCUCACAAUGGGAUGCUGCUUGACCAUGAAACGGAGUGA
Molecule: long non-coding RNA, 1050 nt
Filed under: Capra hircus (goat)
Lineage: Eukaryota; Metazoa; Chordata; Mammalia; Artiodactyla; Bovidae
Description: lncRNA (ENSCHIG00010023816.1)
Source: RNAcentral